ACUCAAAUGAAUUGACGGGGGCCCGCACAAGCAGUGGAGUAUGUGGUUUAAUUCGAGGCAACGCGAAGAACCUUACCAGGGUUUGACAUCCAGCGCUAGGGCUAGAGAUAGUUUGUUCUCUUCGGAGACGCUGAGACAGGUGGUGCAUGGUUGUCGUCAGCUCGUGUCGUGAGAUGUUCGGUUAAGUCCGGCAACGAGCGCAACCCCUGUUGCCAGUUGCCAUCAUUGGGUUGGGCACUUUGGCGAGACUGCCGUUGACAAAACGGAGGAAGGUGGGGAUGACGUCAAAUCAUCAUGCCCCUUAUAUCCUGGGCUACACACGUACUACAAUGGGCGCAGACAGCGGGCAGCGAAGCGGCGACGCGGAGCGAAUCCUGAAAGGCGCCCUCAGUUCGGAUUGCAGGCUGCAACUCGCCUGCAUGAAGCCGGAAUUGCUAGUAAUGGCAGGUCAGCAUACUGCCGUGAAUACGUUCCCGGGCCUUGUACACACCGCCCGU
This 497-nucleotide ribosomal RNA is filed under the name uncultured bacterium. RNAcentral describes it as "bacterial SSU rRNA". It matches the Rfam family "Bacterial small subunit ribosomal RNA", at positions 899 to 1397 of the family's 1533-position model. The record is from RNAcentral.